This 497-nucleotide ribosomal RNA is filed under the name uncultured bacterium. RNAcentral describes it as "partial 16S ribosomal RNA". It matches the Rfam family "Bacterial small subunit ribosomal RNA", at positions 28 to 507 of the family's 1533-position model. The record is from RNAcentral.
GAUGAACGCUGGCGGCGUGCCUAAUACAUGCAAGUCGAGCGAACGGACGAGAAGCUUGCUUUUCUGAUGUUAGCGGCGGACGGGUGAGUAACACGUGGAUAACCUACCUAUAAGACUGGGAUAACUUCGGGAAACCGGAGCUAAUACCGGAUAAUAUUUUGAACCGCAUGGUUCAAAAGUGAAAGACGGUCUUGCUGUCACUUAUAGAUGGAUCCGCGCUUCAUUAGCUAGUUGGUAAGGUAACGGCUUACCAAGGCAACGAUGCAUAGCCGACCUGAGAGGGUGAUCGGCCACACUGGAACUGAGAAACGGUCCAGACUCCUACGGGAGGCAGCAGUAGGGAAUCUUCCGCAAUGGGCGAAAGCCUGACGGAGCAACGCCGCGUGAGUGAUGAAGGUCUUCGGAUCGUAAAACUCUGUUAUUAGGGAAGAACAUAUGUGUAAGUAACUGUGCACAUCUUGACGGUACCUAAUCAGAAAGCCACGGCUAACUACGUG